This is a long non-coding RNA of Artibeus jamaicensis (Jamaican fruit-eating bat), 2325 nucleotides long. RefSeq lists it as uncharacterized. NCBI's taxonomy places the organism in Eukaryota, Metazoa, Chordata, Mammalia, Chiroptera, Phyllostomidae. The record is from RefSeq and is a predicted model, not a curated record. The transcript has 3 exons.
UUAGCUAACAACUUGGGAAAUUGGUUUCCUGCUCCGGUUGUGCCGAAGGCCUUUCAUCGUUCUGAUGAAGACCAGCCAGUGGACAUUCCAGUCUGGACCGGAAGACGCAUGGCUGCCAUGAAAGGCUCACUCAGAGGCAGAAGGCAGCUCUUUCCAUCAAGACCCGAUUCUCGGUGGAGGGGAAUAUCGGCGCUUCAGACCAGGGACAGGCCGUGAAGUUGUUCUCAGCCUGAGAACCAUUCUCCAGAUCUAGUCCUUCAUUCCAAUCCCUCUCCUACUCUCUUUAAUCUCAGCUGUUGGGACACAUUCUUCUUCUGUGCAACAUGCAGCCUUCUCCAAGUGAGAAGCAGCUUUGGAGACUUUCUCUUGAAAGGUUAUCCCUGAGCGGUGGGAGACUUCCAUGUACCUGUCCCCCUCUGCCUGCAGGCCCGCUCCCUCUGUCUGUCCCCCGGUUUGGGGUAGAAAACCUUAAUAAGGAGCCAUCCUGUGAGAGCCUUGAAGGCGUCUACAGUGAGGAUAAGGUGAGGUGUUCGUUAUACCCUGAAGUGACCAUCUUCUGAGGUCUUCUUGUCUUACGGUUGGGACCCCGUGUUCUCCUGAGGAAGUGGUCGGCUUCUGUUGCAGGGACUCCGUAAACCAGUCCCAGGGCACACACUGAAGGGCCCGUGGGCGAUGCAGGUGACGGACGCGGGGCGUGGGCAGGGCAGCCACGUGGGGGGCUGUGUGGGCUCCAUGCCUACGUCCGCCCGGCUGAUGGCCGCGGCGGAAGGCAGGCUGAUUUUUUAAAGUAAAGGUAACCUGGGAAUACUUCCAAACGAAAUGAAAUAUCCCAAUUUUUAAGGUUGGCAACCAAACAACUGAAAAAUAAACAAAUAAGUGUAAAUAAACCAAUAGAAAAAGAGUCGCAAACAAGACGCUGGGAAGGCCCAGACCGAGCACAUCCGUGGGGCACAUCCAGCCACAAGCCACCGUCUGCACCUUCUGCUGGACCUGCUUCCAUCGGCUGCCAGACCCCUGGCCAUGGCCCACCCUCGGCAAGCCCAGGGGCGCCCUGCGUUUUCUGUGUUAAUUGUAUUUCAGGCUUCAUUUUAUGCAGCCUUGGUUUUCUGGGGUUUUUGUGUUUUUUUUGCUUCAUCCUCAUCACUUAAUCCUUUGAUCAUGGUAUGGCUAAGUCGCAUGUCCCACUGAAGGGAGCUUUCUGGAAUAAGAAAGGAAGGUCAGCAAGGACUUGGCUGCAGCUCCCUUUCUUCCCUGUUCUCCCAGGCCUGCUCGUUUGGACGAGUCUUCAGGUUUCCACCAUUUUUCCUACUGAUGAGACCUUGGAAGAGGAAGGAGAAAGGGUGGGGCCCCCAUGGGGUCCCUGGAAAACCUCAGCUGGAAUACCUCUGACUUUGGGGGUGUGGAGAGAGGGAACCCAGGAGAAGGCGUGGGGAGGUGAGCUGGGGCAGGACGCUCACCUGGGCUCUUAGACCAUUUAUAGCAUGAGAGCGGAGGGCAACUGGUAUGUUUUCACAAAGUGAACAUGUGAUUUUCUCGGUUAGAUGUCUGUCUUCAUUCAGAUGUCAUUGGGUGGGUAUGUCCCAACAUGAUGGCCGGAUAACAAUUACCCCCUAAACUGAAUGGCAUAAAACAGCCCUGCACCCCAUUCAUGGAACCGGGGGUCAGGAGGUCGGUCAGGCCCGAGUGAGGGGGCCUUGCCGUGCCUGCGGCACUCUGUCCCCCUGGCCCGAGACUGCUCUGUGCCCCCCCACACGUGUCAGUGCUGGCAUCGCCCCAACUUCUGCCACCUCACAAGGCCACCAUAUCAUCUCGCAAGUGAGCGGCAGACACAGAGCAUCUGGAAAAAUGCGUUAUUGCAAAGCUAAGUUUUACGCUUUGCCCUCUGUCUUCUUGAAUAAGCUGGACUUUGUAAAAACAGCAGAAGCGAGGCCAAGUUGCUCGCUUGUUUACCCUACGAGGCCUCUGCGAAGUCUCAGGCCGACACACAGGAUUCACAACUUGUUCUGAGAUCCCAUGAAGCUCCUGAAGUCAAAAACACACGUGACGUGAUGCAUGGUUCACAGAGGACAGUUUCCGAGGUAUCAUGCUAAAACACAGAAAUACAUUUCCUUUAGCGCUUUCCUUUUUGGGCUUCUUGACAUCUAAUAGCUCUACGCUGCCCCUGUGAGCCAAUAAAUAACACAGCCAAAGGAUUCCACAAAUCUAGAAGGUCGCUGUGUGUGCAUCCUCUGUGUGUCAAGAGAAAGUUUGGUUCAAAGCAAAAGCAAGUUUAUUUGGGGAACUGGUGACUUGGAAAAACAGCUGCAAAAAGAAAUGGGAAAUAAA